GUGCUUACAAGCAGUUACAGCCCGUUAAAGGGUGGUAGCGUACUUUUUGUAGAACGGUCCGGCGAGUUAUAGUCACUAGCGAGCUUAAGACAUUCAGUGUCGGAGGCGUAGGGAAACCGAGUCUGAAGAGGGCGUAUGAAGUUAGUGGCCAUAGACCCGAAACCAUGUGACCUAGCCAUGAGCAGGAUGAAGUGGAGGUAAAGCUCCAUGGAGGUCCGAACGCACGUUCGUUGCAAUGACCGGCGAUGACUUGUGGCUAGCGGUGAAAUUCCAAUCGAACUUGGAGAUAGCUGGUUCUCCCCGAAAUAGCUUUAGGGCUAGCGUUGGGAAUGAGUUUAGCGGAGGUAAAGCACUGAAUGAGCUAGGGGGCGCAAGCUUACUGAACUCUAUCAAACUAAGAAUGCCGCAUAAAUGCUUCCCAGCAGUCAGACUGCGAGUAAUAAAAUCCGUGGUCAAAAGGGUAACAGCCCAGACCCACAGCUAAGGUCCCCAAUACAUGCUAAGUGGAAAACGAUGUGAGAUUGCAUAAACAACCAGGAUGUUGGCUUAGAGGCAGCCACUCGUUCAAAGAGUGCGUAAUAGCUCACUGGUCGAGUGAUCCAGCGCCGAAAAUGUAACGGGGCUAAAACGCGACACCGAAGCAGCGGGAUGCGUAAGCAUCGGUAGAGGAGCAUUGUGUGAGGGUUGAAGCCAGAGCGAGAGCACUGGUGGACUUCACAGAAGAGAGAAUGCCGGUAUGAGUAGCGAGACCCAUGCGAGAAACAUGGGCGUCGAAGGCCCAAGGUUUCCUGGGGAAGGUUCAUCCACCCAGGGUAAGUCGGGACCUAAGCCGAGGACUGAGGUCGUAGGCGAUGGACAGCAGGUAGAGAUUCCUGCACCACUUACACUUGUUUGACGAAGCAGUGACACAGAAGGAUAGGACGGGCGCGGUGAUGGUCAACCGCGUAGGCGGCACGAGGCCGGGAAGCAGUGAAGUACACUUCCCGCAAAGGCUGAGUGUUGACAGGACCGAAAAGAAGUAGGGAAGCGUCCGAGUUCACGCUGGCGAGAAAAGCUGCUAAGGAGCGAAAGGGUGCCUGUACCGCAAACCGACACAGGUAGGCGAGGAGAGAAUCCUAAGACGAGCGGGAGAACCCAUGUUAAGGAACUCGGCAAAAUGACCCUGUAACUUCGGGAUAAAGGGAGCCACGAGAGUGGCCGCAGAGAAUAGGCCCAAGCGACUGUUUACCAAAAACACAGGUCUGUGCGAAGUAGAGAUACGACGUAUACGGGCUGACGCCUGCCCAGUGCCGGAAGGUUAAGGGGAAGUGUUAGGGCAACCGAAGCACGGAACUUAAGCCCCGGUGAACGGCGGCCGUAACUAUAACGGUCCUAAGGUAGCGAAAUUCCUUGUCGGGUAAGUUCCGACC
This 1409-nucleotide ribosomal RNA is filed under the name human gut metagenome. RNAcentral's name for it is "bacterial LSU rRNA". It matches the Rfam family "Bacterial large subunit ribosomal RNA", at positions 560 to 1988 of the family's 2925-position model. The record is from RNAcentral.